UCUGAUAUCCAUUAUACAAAAAAGAGCAUAUUUAUGUGCAUGUAUAAAUUGCACAGUAUGCAACCAAAAAUAUACAUAUAUGUUUUACAUGUAUGUGUUUCUAUAUGCCGUUUGACAUGGGAGAUGAGGGAUGCUAUACAUAGUUCUGUUAUUUUCUAUCAUGUAUGUGUAUUAGAGUGUCUGUGUUAAUAUACUUUUUAAUGCAUGCUCUACAUAAUAUACAGUAGUAAUAACACAGAGAAUACGUAUGGAAUGCGUAUCUCUC
RNAcentral lists this ribosomal RNA (265 nucleotides) under Trypanosoma brucei gambiense DAL972. The record is from RNAcentral. Lineage: Eukaryota; Euglenozoa; Kinetoplastea; Trypanosomatida; Trypanosomatidae.